Molecule: long non-coding RNA, 2068 nt
Filed under: Vitis vinifera (wine grape)
Lineage: Eukaryota; Viridiplantae; Streptophyta; Magnoliopsida; Vitales; Vitaceae
Description: long non-coding RNA (VVIN_LNC008234)
Source: RNAcentral
UUUCUUAAUGCACCUACACUUAUGUGACCAUUUGUUCAAUUAUUUCUCUUAAAUGAUGGUGAAAAAUAGCAAUCAAAAUGAUUGGUGAGGACCACAAUGAUUGUGAUUAUAAUAACUCGUGGUAUCUAUUUUCAAAAAUAGUUUUAAAAAAUAGUUUUUGAAAGUUUGCUUUAAGAUGUUUUAUAUAAUAAAAGUCUGUUUGAAAACGUAAAAUAUUUGUAAUUUAUUUUUAAUAUUUUUAAAUAUAUUUUAAAUUUUUUUUAUGUUUAGUGUUUAAUUAAGAUAUUUUCUAAAAACAUCAUAUUUUCUAUUAUUAAAAAUAAAAAACAAUUUUUAGUUACUGAACUUAGAGCUUGUUUGGUAGAGUUUUUAAAAACAGUUUUUUGUUCUUAAAGACAUAAAACAGUUUUUAAAAAUUCAUAACGUUGUUUGGUUGUUGUUUUCUGUUUUCAAUUUUUAAAAACAAAGUGAAAUAGAGAAUAACAUUUAGAGAAUAAAUAAAAGUUGUUUUCAUUGGUUUUUAAAAACAAUUAAAAAAACACACACUCUAUUAUUUCUCUUUUAUAUAAAAUUAUUAUUAUUAUUUUUGGCUAGGCAAAUUAACUCUAAAAUAAACAAAACUUAAUUUAUUUGAUUUGUUAACAAGUUUAUUAAUUUAAAAAAAAAAUUAAAACUUAAAUAAUAAACUCAUUAAUACCAGAAAUUUGUUAUUAUAAUAAAAUUUAUUUUUUUUAACAUAUAAUUAAAUAUCAUAUUUUCUACUAAAAAUAUAAUUUAUGAUGUUAUUAUAAUAUUACUAUUUAUGCUUUACUAAAAAGUAAAAACUAUAUAUUUUUUAAUUUAUUUGUAAUUACAAAAUUAUUUUCAUUUUGACUUCAAUUAAAUUUUAUUAAUUAAUAUUAUAUAAUUUGAAUUUAAAAUAUUUUUACAAAAUCAAAAUAAUUUUUUUUUAAAAACAAUUUGUCUGUAUAAAUCUUUUUGUUUUUUAUUUUUAAAAUCCUUUUAUAAUAAUAACUUCCCAAAUAUCCUUAGUUUUAAAAACUUUGUUUUUUUUAUUCUUUAACUUUAAAAAAGUUUCUAAAAAAAUAAAAAUAAAUCAUGAUCAAAUAAUUUUUUUUUAAAAAUUAAUUAAAGUCUUAAUUGACUUGUAUUAAAAAUGAAUAUUAAAAUUAUUUUUAUUUUAUAGAAAAUUUUGUUACGAUAAAAAAAUUCUUUCAUAAUUAAAAAAAUAUUUAUUUUUAACUCAUAUAUAAUUGUGGAUUUAAUUUUUAUUUUUUAAUAAGACUUAACUUUAAUUUGAUUUUGAAUGGUUUCGUAGUAAUUUUAAGAAGUGUUUUUAAUUUUUUUAAUAUCUUAAAAAUAAAAUUUUUUAAGUUUUAGAAAGAUUAAAAAUACUUUUUAAAAUCAUCGUAAAAAUAUACUCAUUAUCUUAUUAUAAGUUAAUUUUAUAAAUUUUUAUAAAAUAAAAGUAAUACAUUGUUUUUUAUGAUACGGUAUUAGGUGGGAAGCCCGAUUCAUAUUUUUAAUUGGAUUUAAUUUUCUAAAAUUCGGUGCCAAGGGUAUGAUCGUAAAUAAAUCACAUGGUUUACAGCGGUCACCUACUCAAUGAAACGACGCCGUUUAGAUUUUCACACAAACCCUUCCUAUAUUAUAUACCCCUUCACAGCUUAUUUCUAAUUCUCUUACCCGGCUCCCAGUACCACUCUCCUUUCCGCGCCUACCCGCGCCUACCCUAAGAAACCCUAGACCGAGUCGGGUGUAAAUUUCUUGAUGAAACCCUAGAUAUUGAUUUGGCCUAGGGACCGAGCAAUUCUUCCUGAGAAGUUUAUUGGUCACCGGUUUUUCCAAUGUCUCGGUGUUUUCCGUACCCUCCACCGGAUUUCAAUGGGAACUGUACUCGCGAUGUGGCUGUGAUUGAAUCGAUUAAGGUUUGUUGAGCAUUCAUGCUGUCUAGAGCUUCUGCGUUUAUGCUCAACUGCCUUUUCCGGUUCAUGAUCGUGAUUGUGAUAGUUGUAUCUUGCCUCUGUUCUUAUAAUUCAAUCAUCUAAUUUUCAUCAUUAUAUAUUAA